AGAGAUGAUGGGGUUGAUAGGCCGGAUCUGUAAGCAUUGUGAGGUGUUGAGGUGACCGGUACUAAUAAACCGAC
Molecule: ribosomal RNA, 74 nt
Filed under: Corynebacterium tapiri
Lineage: Bacteria; Bacillati; Actinomycetota; Actinomycetes; Mycobacteriales; Corynebacteriaceae
Description: partial 23S ribosomal RNA
Source: RNAcentral